CCUACGGGAGGCAGCAGUGAGGAAUAUUGGUCAAUGGACGAGAGUCUGAACCAGCCAAGUAGCGUGAAGGAUGACUGCCCUAUGUGUUGUAAACUUCUUUUAUAAAGGAAUAAAACGAGUCACGUGUGCCUUUUUGCAUGUACUUUAUGAAUAAGGCUCGGCUAACUCCGUGCCAGCAGCCGCGGUAAUACGGAGGAUCCGAGCGUUCUCCGGAUUUCUUGGGUUUAAAGGGCGCGUAGAUGGGUUGUUAAGUCAGUUGUGAAAGUUUGCGGCUCAACCGUAAAAUUGCAAUUGAUACUGGCAGUCUUGAGUACAGUUGAGGUAGGCGGAAUUCGUGGUGUAGCGGUGAAAUGCUUAGAUAUCACGAAGAACCCCGAUUGCGAAGGCAGCUUACUAAACUGUGACUGACAUUGAUGCUCGAAAGUGUGGGUAUCAAACAGGAUUAGAUACCCUAGUAGUC
RNAcentral lists this ribosomal RNA (460 nucleotides) under uncultured bacterium. RNAcentral describes it as "partial 16S ribosomal RNA". It matches the Rfam family "Bacterial small subunit ribosomal RNA", at positions 338 to 795 of the family's 1533-position model. The record is from RNAcentral.